Molecule: ribosomal RNA, 230 nt
Filed under: uncultured bacterium
Lineage: Bacteria
Description: partial 16S ribosomal RNA
Rfam family: Bacterial small subunit ribosomal RNA
Source: RNAcentral
AAAGCGUGCGCAGGCGGCUUUGCAAGACAGAGGUGAAAUCCCCGGGCUCAACCUGGGAACUGCCUUUGUGACUGCAAGGCUAGAGUACGGCAGAGGGAGAUGGAAUUCCGCGUGUAGCAGUGAAAUGCGUAGAUAUGCGGAGGAACACCGAUGGCGAAGGCAAUCUCCUGGGCCUGUACUGACGCUCAUGCACGAAAGCGUGGGGAGCAAACAGGAUUAGAUACCCCUGU